Long non-coding RNA from Dendroctonus ponderosae (mountain pine beetle), 430 nucleotides. RefSeq lists it as uncharacterized. The transcript is spliced from 3 exons. NCBI's taxonomy places the organism in Eukaryota, Metazoa, Arthropoda, Insecta, Coleoptera, Curculionidae. The record is from RefSeq and is a predicted model, not a curated record.
UUCAAAUGACUUUGUUGGAAGUUGCCUUGCAUUGAAGUCGCAUGCCUGAGUAGGUAUGCGACGCUACGACCAUGUUAAGAUAGAAGUUAAUGGCGAGCAAGACUGAGAACGAACGAAUAUGGCGUACUUUCUCCGCCCCGAUAUCGAAGACGAUCUGCGCCGAGCAGAACUAACUGCAUAUUGGAUGGGGCCGCAUUUGCCAUGGUGACUUCUUGGCGGCCAUCGACUUCACCGAAAUAGAACAGAACGGACAUUGCUCAUUCUGGAACACGACAAUCAAUCAAGAGAGCGUGCAAAGCAGACUUCAGCUCCAGUCGACUUCAAAAAUUAAUUAGGUUACACAAAUAUACAAAGAGCUUUCUUUACAAAAUCCAUUAAUUUAUUUCAGAUUUAAUGUCCAUGUUAGUAGAAUACUUGGAAUUCUAUUACG